AAUCAACGCUGGCGGCGUGCCUCAGACAUGCAAGUCGAACGAUUAAGACUCUCUUCGGAGAGUGUAUAAAGUGGCGCACGGGUGAGUAACACGUAGGUAAUCUACCUUUGAGUGGGGAAUAACUUAGGGAAACUUAAGCUAAUACCGCAUAAUGCAGCGGCAUCUUCGGAUGACAGUUGUUAAAGGAGUAAUUCGCUUAAAGAGGAGCCUGCGGCAGAUUAGCUAGUUGGUAAGGUAAUGGCUUACCAAGGCUACGAUCUGUAACCGACCUGAGAGGGUGGUCGGUCACACUGACACUGAAUAACGGGUCAGACUCCUACGGGAGGCAGCAGUCGGGAAUUUUGGGCAAUGGGCGAAAGCCUGACCCAGCAACGCCGCGUGAAGGAUGAAGUCUUUCGGGAUGUAACUUCGUAAGAAUAGGAAGAAUAAAUGACGGUACUAUUUGUAAGGUCCGGCUAACUACGUG
Molecule: ribosomal RNA, 466 nt
Filed under: uncultured bacterium
Lineage: Bacteria
Description: bacterial SSU rRNA
Rfam family: Bacterial small subunit ribosomal RNA
Source: RNAcentral